This 72-nucleotide transfer RNA is filed under the name Nocardia sp. NRRL S-836. It matches the Rfam family "tRNA". Rfam says of the family: Transfer RNA (tRNA) molecules are approximately 80 nucleotides in length. The record is from Rfam by way of RNAcentral. Lineage: Bacteria; Bacillati; Actinomycetota; Actinomycetes; Mycobacteriales; Nocardiaceae.
GAACGCGUAGUUCAGUGGUGGAACGCCUGGCUCUCACCCAGGUCGUCGCCGGUUCGAGCCCGGUCGCGUUCG